AGUGAACGCUGGCGGUAGGCCUAACACAUGCAAGUCGAACGGCAGCACAGUAAGAGCUUGCUCUUACGGGUGGCGAGUGGCGGACGGGUGAGGAGUACAUCGGAAUCUACUUUUUCGUGGGGGAUAACGUAGGGAAACUUACGCUAAUACCGCAUACGACCUACGGGUGAAAGCAGGGGAUCUUCGGACCUUGCGCGAUUGCAUGAGCCGAUGUCGGAUUAGCUAGUUGGCGGGGUAAAGGCCCACCAAGGCGACGAUCCGUAGCUGGUCUGAGAGGAUGAUCGGCCACCCGGGAACGUAGACACGGUCCAGACUCCUACGGGAGGCAGCAGUGGGGAAUAUUGGACAAUGGGCGCAAGCCUGGUCCAGCCAUACCGCGUGGGUUAAGAAGGCCUUCGGGUUGUAAAGCCCUUUUGUUGGUAAAGAAAAGCAUCAGGUUAAUACCCCGCCGUUCUGACGGUACCCAAAGAAUAAGCACCGGCUAACUUCGUG
Molecule: ribosomal RNA, 492 nt
Filed under: uncultured bacterium
Lineage: Bacteria
Description: partial 16S ribosomal RNA
Rfam family: Bacterial small subunit ribosomal RNA
Source: RNAcentral